UAUACCCGGUUAACAACCGGGUUUGUUCAUAAUGCCCAAAACGUUUGUGAGUCCGUGUCUUCUGCCUUCUCUCUCUCGUUAUGAACUACUGCAGAACUGAGAAACCCUAACCUCCCUCCGUGAGCGCAGUCUCUCUCUCGCCGUUGCCGCUGCCGCUGGCCGGACUUCGUUCAAUAAGUCUCUCUAUCUCUCACUUCGAUAGCCCUCUCUCUCUCUCUCUCUCUAUCUCGAUCUCGAUCUAUGAUCAGUGCCUUGGGUAGAAAGUUUAUGCUAUUAUUUUGCUAGAUCGGCUAUUUUUGCUCCGUCUCUAUCUCUAUUUUGUUAGAUCUGCUAUUUUUUGGGUUGUGAAAAAAUAAUUUUUCGCUAGAUCUGUUCUCUUUGUUUUUAAACGUGGGGAUUUUUUUUGGGUUUGUUUCGUUCUAUGAUCAAUGCCUUUAAACAAAUCUGAUGUGGGUAUUAAUUAUAUGUUCUGAUUUUGUUAGAUCUGCUAUAUGGCAGUGCUCUGCAUCUUGUUUUGAUAUAGCGUCUUUCUUUCGCUUUGUAAAGUGUAAAUGUUAUGCAAUCAUGUCUGUAAUAAUCCCUUGUGUCAUCUUGUCAAAUAUUUGAAAGGGAUUUUUGAUCAUGAGGAUUCACUUUCUUAUGUGUGCCAUUUGAUCAUUAUCACUUGAUGUGAAUAUUGAACUGUGUACACUAUUACCCAUGCAAAUACAUCAAGUCAUUUCCAGAGAAGGAGGAUAUGCUUCAGGAAUCUUUCAUUCGUAUUAAAUCAAUUGAAUAUGACUUGCAGAAGACAAAGAAAGCACUGCUUGCAACUGCAUCAAAGCAAGUGGAGCUUGCUGACUCACUGGAAAGUUUAAAGGUGACCAGCUUAACGCGGCAGGGGACAAGCUCUUGUUGGCCAAGAAUCAAAUCUUAUACGCCAGGAAGAUGAAUAAAUUGUUUCGUGAGACAGCUUUGCCAAACCUGCUGCUCCCUAUUGACUCUCAAAAUUGCAGUAACUUCCGCUAAGUUCAAUCGGCACUCGAAGGUUCUCAUUUUAGGUGACUGUCACUUCUAACAUUUUUUAGGCACUCACACUCAUUUCCAACUUUCUCAGAUUUCUUUGAAUGUAGUUAUCCACCAAGCAGAGAAAACAGCAAAGCCAUUGAAUCCAGUUCUCUUAAGAUAGACAGGCAGUCCUGUACAUAAUACUUUAUACAAAUAUAUUACUCGAGUAUAGAAACAUCAUAUUCCUUUCAAAUAUUAGAUUUCUGUAGGAUAUUUCAAGAUGCAGCAUGCCGAAGAAUUCUCUUAAGAUUUGAGAAUGUUUUGUGCUAGGAUAGUCUAGGCAAUAAUAUAAUGCCCUCUAAAAAAUUAGAUAUAUGCUCAUUUGUCAAUUUUUGAUCUAGAACCAAUACCUUGAUUAAUGUGCAUCUUUUUCCCUACAUCAUUUUUUGCUAUUGAUGCUCACUUCCCUUGGUACUUUAUCAAUGAGUAGAAUUUGAUAUUGCCAUCUUUUGCAGGGUUAAAGGUUCCUUUCAACAUUUUGAGACUACAUCUUUAUCUAUACUAUUAUUGGACUUCUGAAGAGCAAUGUCAACUUUUAUAGUCCUUUGAGUGUAGUGGUAAAAGGAAUGUUCUUACCAAAUUAGUUGUUGUGUAUUGGACUUUAAUUAGAGCAAUGUAUGUGUUUUGUAAUGAUCUAAGCAAAUCAGUUCAAAUGUAAUAUGUAGUUGAUUUUUUUUUCUUUUUAGGUUAAUUAGUUGUUUAUAGCGGUAGCUGAUAUGCAUGUAUUAAUUAUAAUUAGUUGAUAUUUUUAUCAUCA
This is a long non-coding RNA of Carya illinoinensis, 1804 nucleotides long. RefSeq lists it as uncharacterized. NCBI's taxonomy places the organism in Eukaryota, Viridiplantae, Streptophyta, Magnoliopsida, Fagales, Juglandaceae. The record is from RefSeq and is a predicted model, not a curated record. The transcript has 3 exons.